UUGCCAGGGAACUACGAGCUAAGCUUAAAACCCAAAGGACUUGACGGUACCCCAUAUCCCCCUAGAGGAGCCUGUCCUAUAAUCGAUAAUCCACGAUUGACCUCACCAUUUUCUAGUUUAUCAGCUUGUAUACCUCCGUCGUCAGCUUACCACGUGAGCGCUUAACCUAGUGAGCUUAAUGUUAUUUCACCAACACGUCAGGUCAAGGUGCAGUAUAUGUAAUGGAAAGAGAUGGGCUACACUUUCUAUCCUAGAACACACGAAAAACUAAAUAUGAAAUCUAGUUGGAAGGCGGAUUUAGUAGUAAAAAGGAAUUAGAACGUCCAUUUUAACUCGGCACUGGGGUGUGUACACACCGCCCGGUCACCCUCA
RNAcentral lists this ribosomal RNA (372 nucleotides) under Atelopus bomolochos (Azuay stubfoot toad). RNAcentral describes it as "partial 12S ribosomal RNA". It matches the Rfam family "Bacterial small subunit ribosomal RNA", at positions 869 to 1405 of the family's 1533-position model. Lineage: Eukaryota; Metazoa; Chordata; Amphibia; Anura; Bufonidae. The record is from RNAcentral.